AUAAAUUUCUACAACUAACCUACAUUAUUAGGGAUUAAACAAAUACCUAGCCUACAAAGAUUGAUCAAUUUAGAUUACAAAACCAAGAUUUGAUGACACUUAUUUAUUGUUGUCUAAGCUGCAAAGAUCUUAAUACAAGCUAAUAAAACUAGAUAAUUAUCAGAAAUAAUACUACAAUUCUGGUCAUCCAUGGACAGUCUUUAUCUGUAUUUCCCAGUUCUGUUCCUAGUUCAUUAUAUCAUCAGCCGCCAUUUUCUUAACAAGUUACAAAACCUUCCACCUAGCCCAUUCCCAACACUCCCUUUUAUUGGCCAUCUCUACUUAUUGAGUAAACCUUUCCAUAGGGCUUUAUUCAAAGUCUCGAAUCGUUAUGGUUCAGUAGUGUUUCUUCAAUUUGGCUCUCGGCCUGUCCUCCUUGUUUCAUCACCUUUAGUAGCAGAAGACUGUUUUACUAAAAACGAUAUCAUCUUUGCCAAUCGUCCUGAUUUUCUCAGUGGUAAGUAUUUCGGGUACAAUUUUACUAGCCUCGCUUGGUCUUCUUAUGGAGAGCACUGGAGAAAUCUUCGAAGAAUUUCCACUCUUGAAGUUUUAUCUUCCUAUAGAAUUCAGACACUAUCAAGCAUCCGUUCUAAUGAAAUAAACUACCUGAUUCAUAGACUCUUUAGAGUCUCCAUAGAGAAUUCGGAAAAAAUUGUGGAGAUGAAAUAAUCUCUUUUUAACUUCACGUUCAACGUGAUAUCGAGAAUGAUUGCAGGGAAAAGAUACUAUGGAGAGAACUCAAAAGAAGCUAUGCUAUUCCAGGAUAUAUCAAAGGAUACAAUAAACACUACUCCAAAGGCUAAUAUUUUGGAUUUCUUGCCAUUUAUGAGGUGGUUUGGAUUGCAUAGUGUUGAGGAAAAGAUGAUGGAACUACAGAAGAAGAGAGAUAACUUUAUGCGAAAGGAAAUAGACGAGCAUCGUCGAUUAAAGACCAGUGGUUCUUUUCCUUCAGCAGAGGUUGUCGCAGGGAAGAAGAAAACUAUCAUGGAAGUAUUGUUAGAUUUACAGAAAACAGACCCCGAAUACUACACAGAUGAAACAAUUAGAAACCUACUGCUGAUCCUACUCCAAGCUGGAUCAGAUACUUCAGCAGUAACACUAGAAUGGGCUUUUUCACACUUGCUUGACAAUCCAGAAAUUUUAAAGACGGCACAGACUGAAAUUGACAAUCAGGUUGGACAAGACCGCCUAAUUGAUGAAUCCGAUUUGGCUCAACUUCCUUACAUCAGAUGCAUCAUCAAUGAGACAUUGCGGAUGCAUCCAGCAGCCCCUUUACUUGUGCCUCACCUUUCAUCAGAAGAGUGCAAAGUUGCAGGCUAUCGAGUUCUGCGUGGAACAAUCCUAUUAGUGAAUGCAUGGGGGAUACAUCAUGACCCUAAGGUAUGGGAGGAUCCAGAAAAGUUCAAUCCUGAUAGAUUUAUAGGCUUUGAUAGUGUCAAAGAGGGCUGCAAGUUUAUUCCGUUUGGAUCAGGAAGGAGGGGUUGCUCUGGUGAGAACCUAGCAAUUCAUGUCAUUGGAUUGGCACUAGGCUCACUUCUUCAAUGCUUUGAGUGGGAUAAGCCCAAUAGUGAGAUCAUCGAUAUGAGCGAAGGCACUGGAUUCACAAUUUCACCAAAGGUUCAGCCGCUAUUAGCAAAAUGUUUUCUACAACCACACAUGGUUAAACUUCUUUCUGAAAUAUGAGAUUCUACUAAUGUACGCCAUCAUAAUUCCACAUGAAUAACUAUGCAUUUUUAAGAUCCAAUUUUCUUAUUCUAUCAUUUAGCAACGAAACCUUAUAAUAACAAAUACGAAAAAACAAAAAGGAAUCGUGCAGGUAAGAAGAGGUGCAAAUCAUUUUUUGAAGCAAGAUAUAGCAAAGCAUAAGGAACACCAUACAACAUAAGUUCCAUGAUAGUAACUAUAGUACUGCAGAGGAUUCAGUUGUUAACAAAGCAUAUUGAUUCUUAGAGCUGGCAUUAUCACCCGAACUUUCAUCAAACAGAUAGUAUGCAUGUAUAACACUAACCAACUAGCAUCAGAUUAUCAAUAAUCGCAAAGCGUCUCUAAUAUCAUAGGGCAAUCCGCGACUGAAACUUUGAAUAGUCGAUUCUAGUUUAGCGAGUUUGAUUUCUGGUAUGGUCGCUCAACUAAUACUUAUUA
Solanum stenotomum is the source of this 2181-nucleotide RNA transcript. It is a transcript of the gene named cytochrome P450 81Q32-like, with no coding region annotated. The transcript has 2 exons. Lineage: Eukaryota; Viridiplantae; Streptophyta; Magnoliopsida; Solanales; Solanaceae. The record is from RefSeq and is a predicted model, not a curated record.